This is a long non-coding RNA of Apteryx rowi (Okarito brown kiwi), 2193 nucleotides long. NCBI's taxonomy places the organism in Eukaryota, Metazoa, Chordata, Aves, Apterygiformes, Apterygidae. The record is from Ensembl.
CAGCGGCACCUCGAGGUGCUGCCCGCCGAGCGCUGCCCGGAGCCCCCGGGCUCCCCGGCACGGGGCGGGAGCCCGAAACGCCCGCCGGCCCCCGCGACGCACCCCGGGGCCGGCGCUCCGCCGCUGCCCGCAGCCGCUCGGGAUUUUACUGGGCUCUUUUCUCCCCUUUCAGACCCCACGGGGCGGAAACCUGCCCCCCGAGGCGCCGCCGCGCAGCCGCCGCCGGUGCCCGUCCCGCCGCCGGGGAUGCUGCGGGAAGGCACCGGAGAGGAGGCGCGGGUGACCAGGUGCGGAGCCGCCGGCGGGCUCUUUCCCCGGCUAGCGGGGGGCUAAGGCGGCCCGUCUCCCCCUGCCCGGGCCCAGGCCCGCGUCCGGCGGGGCGACCCCGGCGCCAGCCCCCCGCGCGUCGCGACCUGCUGCAGCCCGAAAGCGAGAGGCGGCAGCGGCGGCGGCUGAAGGUCGAGCGCCCCGAAGGGUGGUUUAAAGCCGGGGGGGGGGUGUCCUCGGUCGGGUGCGAUGCCUUCGCCGCCCCCUUUGCCUGGCCGGGACCCCCAGUCCCUGCCGGCGAAUUUGUGCCUCGCAGGAGCUCGCCGAGGGCCUGGCUUCGCCGGCGCAGCAGGCGCAGGUCUGCGCGGCGCAGGCUCUGCCCCCCAGGCCCUCGGCUGCCUCGGGAGCACGGAGGAGCCCUUCCUGGCCGCUCUCCUGAGCACGUACGUAGCGCUGGCGGCAGCACCGGGCCCCGACGUGCUUUCGGGGGGGUUCCGCCUGCUUGGUGCCGGCGGAGACCCCGGGGUGCGGGAUCAGCCCGCAGCUGGGUUACGGGGGAAAGGGGGCGGCGCGGGGGGCGGCAGCAGAGCCGCCGAGUGCGGGGCGCUUGGGUGCCGCCGGGCUCUGCCGGUUGGUUUCUGUUCCAGCUGCGCGGAUGCAGCAGAGCGCCGGUGCGGUACGAAGUCACCCGGAGCCUCGUCCGCCUGGAAAUAGCAGCGCUGAGUUCCCCCAGCUGCGCACAGGCGGUGGCACAGGCUCUCCGGCCUCCGGGAUCCCGCUCCCGCGGGGCGAGCGCGAGCCGAGCCCCUGCCAUCCCUCUGCUUCCCAAGGUAGAUCGCCAGGACACUGUCCGAGCUCGGAGCCAGCCGGAGGCACCUGCCAGAGGACCCGCAGCUCCCGCGUCCGGUGGAUGAGGCUCUCGGCGGGGAGCGUGCGAAAGCCCGGCCAAGCCUGGAGAAACCCCCUGGAGCUGGGAGGCGACAGGGACCCCCGGCCUCCGGAAUCCUGCCGGCAGCUCAGGGGGGCUCUCGGCAGCAGGGACCUGGUGUGGAGCGGCAGCAGAGGAAUUAAAAGCAGAGGAAAUUAAAAUUUCUGCUAUGGAUUUUGCUUUUCUUCUUGGAAGAGUAGUAAAUGUGGUACGUGGCAUGCCGGGGAGAGCCGUAUGGGCUGUGCAUGCGUUUCCAUGAAUAAGGAAGGGGAGGCCUCAUAGGGGCAGAUUGGGGGUUCUGGCUCCUCGGGCUGAUGGACGUUGUGAAGCAGGAGACGCAGGCCAAAGCGAGCAGGGGAAGGUGCAGCACAAACUCCAGCCUUUUGCCCCAAAAAUCUGCCCUCAGGUGGGACGCAGACUGAGUUUUCUGCUUCUUUGCAGCACAGAACUUCAUUGCUUUAGAUCAGAGGGAAACAGAGCCUGGGGGGGGGUCUUCAAACCCAAGAGAAAUCGGGGACUGUCUGAACCGGGCUGUCCAGGCUCCGCUGUUCGCAGUGGGAUCGAACCAGGGGUUUUGCAGCAGCAGGGUCAAUGCAAACGCAUUUUGCCUCCCGUUGCCCCAGCUAUGCGGCUGCAGAGGGGUGGGAGGGGUGCACGUGUCCACGCUGCAUGCGGUGCUUUGACUGGAGAGCCAGGAGAGAGAAAAGUAAUUAAAGAAGAUUAAGAAAAGCCUCUAUUGCAUAAUUUAAAUAAUUUAAAAUGAGCUCUGCAGGCAUCUGGGGUGGGGGGACGGAGGGGAGGGCUGCCCCGAGCUGCCCGGCAGGGUUCGUGCCUGGGGCAGUGGCUGGCCGCGGAGCCAGGGGGACCGCUGGGAGCUGACAUGUAGCCCGACCUCGGCGCUGCUGGAGGAAGGGUCUUUUCGGGUGCCCGGGGGUCAGUGCACAGUUUGCUGCUGCCUCAGAGUCACGGGGCUGAUAGUGAAAACAACCCUUGUGGCA